CUUACCCUAGGGUUCAAGUGCCCUUCUGGAACCCUGUGGUACUUGAGUCCCUAAGAACCUGCACGUUGGAAAGUCCAUUGCUCUGGGGAAUUGAAUCCGACUAUGGGCGAAUGGCCUGGACGCAUCACUGUUUGUUCUGCUUCGUCUCCAUUGGCACCAGGACAGACUGAGAUGUAGGUGUGGGUUUGUGUGGCUGCUAAAGGAACCAGCUGAACACCUCGGGGCUGGGGUGGAAUAGAGCAUGGGCAGUGGCCCGAGAGACUGAUAGGAAGCCUGUACAUGGAGCAUUGUUUUCUGACAAUCACUAGAUCACCCCAGUCAUCAGUAGUCAUUCUCUCCAGACACUGAGAUCUCUGUGGCCUCCUGUCUGCUCUUUGCUGUCAUUUCUCAAACCCACCAAAUCCUGUCACUGUGCCCCUCUAAUGGUGGCCAUUUCUCUGUUGCAUUUCUCUUAGCACAGAUUGGCACUUUAUCAUUCAUCCCUCAAUUUGGAAGCGAAUCCUCCUCUGUUGAUUUUCCCUCCACCCUACCACAGCUAUACUCUAGAAGACUCACACAUAGUUCCUGCUUACUGCCUUCAUCCCUGAAGACUUGUAAUGAGAGGAAUAAGGCCAUAGAGCUGAGUCACUGUGCCCGGAAGUAAGGGGCUCCCUCCGCUUGCCCGAGGUCAUCUCUUCCCAAGUCCUGGCAAAGCACUGGCUUGGGUGCCACCUGCUUCAGAGAAAGUCAGCCCUGUAGUCACUUUAGGAGCAGGUGGGAGGCUGUCCUGGGAGCCUGGUCCGUGCAUAGCCCUGGAGGCCUGCUGGGGAGAGCCAGUGCUGCCACACUCCUGGAGACCCAG
This 841-nucleotide long non-coding RNA is filed under the name Androctonus crassicauda. The record is from RNAcentral. Lineage: Eukaryota; Metazoa; Arthropoda; Arachnida; Scorpiones; Buthidae.